GUGGAUGUGCUAGAGUGGUUAUCGGGCAUGACUAGAAAUCAUGUUCGUUCCGCCCGCACGAGUUCGAAUCCUGCCAUUCACG
Molecule: transfer RNA, 82 nt
Filed under: Sphenostylis stenocarpa
Lineage: Eukaryota; Viridiplantae; Streptophyta; Magnoliopsida; Fabales; Fabaceae
Description: tRNA gene-AYBTSS11_LOCUS24150
Rfam family: tRNA
About the family: Transfer RNA (tRNA) molecules are approximately 80 nucleotides in length.
Source: RNAcentral